This 1485-nucleotide ribosomal RNA is filed under the name Triticum aestivum (bread wheat). RNAcentral describes it as "partial small subunit ribosomal RNA". The record is from RNAcentral. Lineage: Eukaryota; Viridiplantae; Streptophyta; Magnoliopsida; Poales; Poaceae.
AUGGAAGAAGAGUAUUCGGCAUUGAAGAAAAAUAAAACGUGGCAUCUAGUACCUCCACGACGAGGUAAAAAUCUCAUUGACUGCAAAUGGGUGUUUCGCAUUAAAAGAAAAUCUGACGGAUCUAUAGAUCGUUACAAAGCAAGACUUGUUGCAAAGGGCUUCAAACAAUGGUACGACAUAGACUAUGAGGACACAUUUAGUCCCGUUGUUAAAGCUGCCACCAUUCGUCUUGUGUUGUCUGUUGCUGUUUCCAGGGGAUGGAGUCUCAGACAAUUAGAUGUGCAGAAUGCGUUCCUUCAUGGCAUUCUAGAAGAGGAAGUAUAUAUGAAGCAACCUCCUGGGUUUGUGAACAAAAACUCACCACUGCAUGUGUGCAAACUUGAUAAAGCUUUAUAUGGCUUGAAGCAAGCUCCCAGGGCAUGGUACUCACGUCUAAAUCAGAAACUGCAAGCACUUGGAUUUAUCCCUUCAAAGUCUGACACAUCACUGUUUAUUUACAAUAGAUCAAAUACCUCCAUAUUUGUUCUUAUUUAUGUUGAUGAUAUAAUUGUCACAAGUUCCUCUGAUGAAGCAAUAACAGGCCUCUUGAAGGAUCUAAGUGCUGAGUUUGCUCUGAAGGAUCUAGGAGACUUACAUUUCUUCCUAGGGAUUGAGGUAAAGAAACAUGAAGAUGGCCUUCAUCUCUCUCAGGAAAAAUAUGCUACUGAUCUGGUAAGAAGAGUUGGUCUUCAAGGAUGCAAACCUUCACCAACACCCUUGUCUAGUUCAGAGAAACUCUCACUUACAGAAGGAGAACCCUUGAAUCAAGAGGACAGUACAAACUACAGAAGUCUGGUAGGAGCACUUCAGUACUUGACUCUGACAAGACCUGAUAUUUCAUUUGUUGUUAAUAAAGUAUGCCAAUUUCUUCAUGCACCCACUACAGUUCAUUGGACUGCUGCUAAACGUAUAGUAAGAUAUGUGAAAAAUACUAUGAAUCUUGGUCUUACUUUCAGCAAAUCUUCAUCUACCCUAGUCAGUGCUUUCUCAGACUCUGAUUGGGCAGGAUGGAUAGAUGACAUACGCUCUAUUGGUGGGUUUGCAGUAUUUUUUGGACCAAAUCUAAUAUCAUGGUGUGCAAAGAAACAGGCUACUGUAUCAAGGUCAAGCACAGAAGCUGAGUACAAGGCACUUGCAAAUGCCACAGCAGAAAUUAUUUGGGUACAGUCUAUGUUAAAGGAACUUGGUAUAAAGAGUACCAAAGCUCCGUGUUUAUGGUGUGAUAAUCUUUUUGGUGCCACCUACCUAUCUGCAAAUCCAGUGUUUCAUGCAAGAACGAACCAUAUUGAAAUUGAUUUCCACUUUGUCAGAGAAAGAGUUGCAAAUCAGCAGUUAGACAUUCGGUUUGUGCAUUCUAGAGAUCAAGUUGCAGAUGGUUUCACAAAACCGUUGCCUACAAGAAGUUUUGAAGAAUUCAAUCGUAAUCUCAACUUGACAAAGUUGUGA